RNAcentral lists this long non-coding RNA (7573 nucleotides) under Gossypium barbadense (sea-island cotton). RNAcentral's name for it is "long non-coding RNA (GBAR_LNC001607)". The record is from RNAcentral. Lineage: Eukaryota; Viridiplantae; Streptophyta; Magnoliopsida; Malvales; Malvaceae.
AAGAGAACCAAAAAGGGAGAAUAAUUCAAUUUUUCAUAAUACCCCUCAUGUCUGUGAUACGGGGUUAAAAGAGUGCAGCACAAACACACAGAUAGUGUCAAUACAAACAGGACAAAACUCACCAUUUAAAGAAAACAAAACAGACAAACGCAGCGUUUGACGCAUGAUAAUUAGAAAUUAAAAAUAGUGUGAAAUAAACAGAGUUGAAACCAUGGCCUUCCAUUUUGGUCUGUAUCUGUUACUCCCUUCUCGAACAGGAUCCGUGUCCUUAAGGAUGAAAAUUAGGAUAUCGCUUCUGUAAUGCUUGUAGAUCCUCUCAUGUUGAGUCUUCAAGGUAGGUGUUGAACCAUUCAACCGCACCUUUAUUGUCGCACGAUUGCCCUUCUUAACCAUUAUUCUCUCCAAUAUUCUUGAUGGUUCUUUGUCGAGGGUACCAUCAGUCCCUACUACAGGCAGCAUAGGCGAAUGUGGUGUCUUAUCGAUGUACCUUUUGAGCUGGGAGACCUGGAACGUAGGGUGAAUUCUUAAUCCCGGUGGCAAAGUUAGUUUGUAAGCAACUGAACCCACUUUGGCUUCCACAAGGAAGGGUCCAAAGUAUUUAGGUGACAAUUUGUGAUUCUUUAGCUUCCGGAGUGAGUGUUGUCGGUAUGGCUGCAACCUAAGGUAUACCCAAUCUCUAAUUUCAAAACUCCUAUCUGACCUCUUCUUGUUGGCAAGCUGUAUCAUUCUCUCUUGAGCUCUCUUCAAAUGAAAGUGAAGAAGCCUCCUCAUAGCUUCUCUGUUUUUCUAGCUUCGAUCUACUGUAGCUACAUUAGAAGAACUAGCUAGAUACGGUAAUUUUUGGAGUGGGACUUGGCCAUAAAAGGCCUCAUAUGGAGUGGUUUGAAUCGCUGAAUGGUGUGUGGUGUUGUACCACCAUUCAGCUAAGGGUAACCAUUGCACCUACUCCUUAGGACAUUCACCAGCCAUGCAUCUUAGAUAGCCUUCUAGGCAUCGGUUCAGAACCACAGUCUAUCCAUUCGUUUGGGGAUGAUAUGCUGUCGAUAAACACAGUUUAGACCCCAACCUUCUAAAGAGUUCUUGCCAGAAAUUGCUCACAAAUAUUUUGUCCUGAUCUGACACGAUUGUCUCAGGAAUACCAUGUAGCUUAUAAACAUGUGUCAAGUAUUCUUGGGCGACAGUGAUGGCUAUGAAAGGGUGUGAGAGGGGUAUGAAAUGCCCAUACUUUGUGAGUCUAUUGACUAUCACUAAUUUGGUGUUCUUGUUGCGGGAAGUAGGUAACCCUUCUAUGAAAUCCAUGCUGAUAGCUUGCCAUACACGAGAGGAAUGGGUAGAGGCUGUAAAAGACCAGGAGAGGCUACCAAAUCUGCCUUGCACCGUUGACAAACAGGGCAUUUCCUAACCCAUUUCCUUAUAUCCUUAGCUAGAGCCUUUCAAUAUAUCUGUCUGGACAUUCUAACCUUGGUAGUGUGUGCUCUUGAGUGACCUCCCAAUGAGCUACUAUGAAAACUUUCGAAUAGCUCCCUCCUAAGGCUUUCAUCAUUCCCUACGACUGCCUUCCCUUUUCUUCUUAAUAUCUGACAAUCCCAUGAGUAAUUCGGGUGCCUCUGAGGGUUGUCUUGGAGCUCGAUGCAUAGUUGUUGUAGCUUGGAAUCAACUAAGACAGAUUUAACUCUUUUUCCCAUAAUUCUGACCAUGAAAUGCUUCAUAUACAUUGUAACGAUUGUCCCACUGAUUCUUGAGAUUUUCUGGAUAGGGCAUCAACUACCAAAUUUUGUGCACCCCUCCUGUACGUGAUGUAGUAGUCAUAUCCCAGCAUUUUGACUACCCAUUUUUGCUGGAAUGGGGUAAUAGCUUGUCUAUCUGCUAAAAACUUUAGGCUUUGGUGAUCAGUCCUAAUUUGAAACCUCUUCCCAACCAAGUACGUGUGCCAUUUCUUAACUGCCAUGAGAACUACAAGCAUUUCCAUAUCAUAGAUGGAAAGCACUUGAUGCUUCACCCCUAGUCCCUUACUGAAGAAUGCCACGGGUCUCCCUUUUUGGUGUAACACAGCCCCAACCCCUUGACCACAUGCGUCAGUAUCGAUGCAGAACUCUUCAUUAAAAUUAAGAAGAGACAACACUGGUGCUUGGCAUACAACUUGCUUUAACGAUCCAAAGGCUGCUUGCUCACUUUUGGUCCAGUUCCAUGCAGCAUCUUUCUUGAGCAAGUUGGUUAAAGGUCAUGCCAUGACCCCAUAGUUUCUUAUAAAUCUUCUGUAGUAGCCUGAAAGGCCUAGGAAGCCCCUUAAUUCUUUGAUCGAUUUGGGGGUAGGCCAAUUUGAAACUCCCUCAACUUUUGUAGCAUCCAUUAUUACCUUUCCUGCAGAUAUAACAUGCCCCAGAUAUUCUAUUUGAUGAGUGCCAAAGGUACAUUUACUUUUCUUGACAAAUAGGUGGUUGUUCCUCAAAAGUUGCAGCACCUCUCGUAAAUGCUUCAUAUGCUCGGUCCAGCUGUUGGAAUAAACUAGUAUGUCAGCAAAAAUACUAGGACCGAUCUUCUUAAUAAGUCUUUGAAGAUGGUAUUCAUCACUGCCUGGAAGGUUGAAGGGGCAUUAGUUAAGCCAAAAGGCAUAACCAAGAAUUCAUAAUGCCCUUCAUGUGUCUUGAAGGCUAUUUUGAAAAUAUCCCCCUCAUGCAUUCUAAUUUGGUGAUAGCCCGAUCUAACUUGGAGAAAAAGAGGGUCUGUCCUAGUUCAUCCAAUAAUUCUUCGAUGAUGGGUAUAGGAAACCUAUCCUUAAUGGUAAGUUGGUUCAAGUGGCAGUAAUCUACGCACAAACGCCAGCUCCCAUCCUUUUUCUUGACCAUUAUGACAGGUGAAGAAAAUGGGCUAUUACUAUCCCGUAUGAUUCCAGCUUGCAGUAUCUCUUUAAUGAGUCUCUCAAUUUCUAUCUUCUAUAAUGUAGGGUGUUUGUAGGGCCUCACAUUAAUCACCCUUGUUUCAUUGUGCAAUGGGAUUCUAUGAUCUUGUGUUUUUGCUAGAGGGAGUGUAUUUGGUGUCUUGAACACAUCAUCGUAUUCCCUUAAUAGUAGUUGCAAGUCUGCCUGGGUAAGAGCAAGUGACAUUUUCAGCAUGGUAUGCUGAUUUGUAGCCAGCAUCAUAGGACAAGGACUGAGUGGUGUCAUAUGUAAAUAUUUGGACAUUUGGUGACCCUGAAGUAUCUGUAAGCUUCCUGGUUGAAUACCUUGCAGCAUGCAACUUUGCCCCCCAUGCUCGAACCUCAUAGUGAGAGACUAAAAAUUCCAAACAAUAGCUCCUAAAGAAAGUAACCACUGUAUCCCUAGCACUAAGUCGCACCCCUUCACCGGAAGAACCAUGAAAUCGGUUACAAACUUGUAGCCUUGUGUCUACCAUUCAAUAGCUCUACAUAGCCCUCUUGUGCACAAACUUCCCCCAUUAGCGACCAUAAUCUUCAUUUGUUUAGCUGGUUCAAUAGGUAAGUUACCCCUCUUGGCGAUUUUGGAGUCCACAAAAUUGUGAGUGCUCCCAGAGUCGACCAAUAUUAUCAUAUCAAAUUGCCCAAUUUUGGCUGCUAUUCUCAUGGUGUUGUGUCCUUGGGAUCCUUGUAAGGCGUGUAAUGAGAGAACGAGGGGGUUGGGUUCAGCUUCUGGUUCUGUAUUUUCAAGUUGCUCGGGGCAGUCCUGAAACUCCUCUGUUGGUGAGUUGAUGGCUUCCACUCCCAAUUCAUUAUGAGAUCCUACCACCAACUGGUAUAGUUGGGACUUCACGCAUUUGUGUCCCGGAGUAUACUUGGCAGCGCAUCAAAAACAUAGACCAUUUUUUCUCCUAUCCUCCAUUUCAGCUUGAGACAAGGCUUUGGUAGGGGUUUGAUGGUUGCUUAAAGGGCUUUUCUGAGGGCCAAGAUUUGACGAGGGACCUCCAAGAGUUGGCACAUGACUGAUAGGUUCGGGGUUAGAAAAUAGGGGUUUAGAGUACCCUCCACUCCCUUCAACCAACGGAGGCCUUUUAAUAGUAUGCGUCGAUACAAUACCUUCUACCUGUUUGGCUAACAUAUACGCCUUUACCAAUGUCUGGGUUUGAAUAGUCUGAGGUACUGACCAACUUCUACCUUGAGGUUACUUAUGAAUAUGCUUAAUGCGUAGGGUUCAGGCAAGUGUAACUGGUUGAGGAUACUUACAAACUGAUCGUGGAAUAGGUCCACCGUUCCCUGUUGCUUCAAGGUUACCAGCUUAGUCAUCGGGUCAGUGAAGUUGGAAGGGACGAAUCUCUCUUGCAACCCUCGAGCAUAGGUUUCCCAAGACAACAUUUGAAGUCCACCUUGUCUUUGGCUAAAAAAGUGGUGCCAAUCCAGGGAUUUUCCCUCCAAAUGGAGCAUAACAGUUCGCACCUUGUCCUGUUCCAACACCUUCAUCUUCGAAGAAUUGCUCUAACUUCGACCACCAUCCCUGGAAGUCUUCACCAUCAAACCUCGGGCAGUCAAACUUGAAGUUUCUACCCAUGGAGUAUAAGGUACUAGCCCUUGAAUGUAUGCCUAUAUGACUAGACUCAACCAUAGGUGAUAGCAAAAGUGACUCCUUUGGUGGGAACCCAGGAGGUGUGCCCCCAAGUACCUCUUUUCCCUUGUUCGAUGUCUGUCCCUGAGCAGGUGGUGUCGCACGCCCUAUCUGCUAUUCAAAAAAAUUUUAAAGCUCGGUGCGAAUGCCAAAGUUUACAUUUUUGUGGAACUCUUUGAAUCGGGACUCCAUUCGAGCGUCUAUUUUUGGGCUAAAUUGGUUUGUAGUUGAGUGAGUUCCUGUUGCAUCAGCCCCAUGUCUUUCUGCAUGUUUCCCAUGUCCUUUUGUAACCUCGUGGUGACUCCCUCACCGGCCAUCGAGAGAGGCUCUAAUACCUUUGAUACCGUCGGUAACGUUACUAGAAGAACAAUAAAUGAAGAAGAAAGAAGUAGGAGAGGAAGAGAUGAAAGCAGAUGAGAUAAGAGAAUCAAGAAGGGAGAAUAAUUCAGUUUUUCAUAAUACCCCUCAUGUCUGUCAAUAGAAAUAGGACAAAACUCACGUUUAAAGAAAACAAAACAGACAAACGCAAUGUUUGAUGCAUGAUAGUUAGAAAUUAAAAAUAGUGUGAAAUAAACAGAGUUGAAACCGUGGCCUUCCAUUUUGGUUUGUAUCAGAAGAUAGGAAGAAAAUUCUGAACUUAUCUCCCUGGUUAUUUGACCAUUGUCUUUUUGCAAUGUUGCUCAUUGUCAAAGAUAAAGAGAUGGAAUCUUACGCCUUCAACUUAGCUACUUUUUGGGUAAGAAUCUUUAAUAUACCCUUUGAAUGUAUGGACAGACGAGUAGCUAUGGAUGUGGGCAGUGCUAUAGGGGAAGUUAUUGCCAUCGACUGGCGUGAUAGAGAUGGUUGAUGGACAGAAUAUAUCCAAAUUAGUGUUAUAAUUGAUACUUCCAAACCUCUGCGUAGAGUGGUCCAGUUUGUGAAUAGGGAGGGUUUCAUUUCUGUUUGCACCAUAAAAUAUGAGAGAUUGCCUACUUUCUACUACAAUUGUGGCCUUAUAAGCCAUUCAACACAAAAAUGAGAUAAGAUGGUUAUCCAAAGCAAAUCCAAUGAUACUAGCUAUCAAUAUGGAAAUUGGUUAAAAGCUUAUAUAGGUAUAACUAAUCAGGAUCGAAGAAAUUGGAGAAAUAGGAUUGAAGUUAUUGAAGCUAAAAGAGUAGUGGAAAGUGAGUUGAAUAGAACGACACAAGGAAAUACUGAGCUAAAUGUAUCUGGUGAAAUAAAGGAAAAAGAGAAAAUUAAACUGACUAAAGAAGAGUUGAGAUCGAGUUCACAAAUAGAGAAGUGACCUUUCAAGUUGUCCUGUAUAGUAUAUAGGAAAAUGAGAAAAAAAAAGAAAAGAGGCAACAGGUAGCUGUGGAGAGUUAACCGAAGACAACCCCAGUAGAUCAGGUCGUAGAAAGCUCAUGGAUAGUUUAUCACUUUUAAAGGCAGUGGUUGACGAUCAGCCCAACCAAGAUCAAUGACGUUCCUAUGUUGGAACUAUCGUGGGUUAGGGAACCACGCGACAGUUCGGGAGCUUUAGCAACUCUUAGUUGCAAAUAACCCUGACAUUAUUUUCCUUAGCGAAACUAAAAUGAAAGUUAAUGAUUUUCAACGUGUUCAGAAUAAGUGCAGAAUGCAAAAUGGUUUGGCUGUGAGUUUUGAAGGAAGAACUGGAGAUCUCGCGUUGAUGUGUAGGGAAGGCGUUGAUGUUACCAUUCAAAACUACUCUAAGUUCCAUAUUGACUCCCUGCUUAGGUAUGAAAAUAACAAAAAUGUUCGUUUCACUGGUUUUUAUGGCAACGCGAAUCCGAGUCUUAGAAAUAGUUCGUAGGAUAUGCUAAGAAGAAUCGGUGGGACGGUUGGGGAGGACUGGGUGGUAGGGGGAUUUUAUGCAAUUUUGAAGAAAAACAAUAUUGAAAAACUUAAAGAUUCGAAUGGCAAUUGGGUGACGGGUAUAGAGAUCUUUGCAAUAUUGCUAAAUACUAUUUUUGUAAUUUGUUUCGAUCUAAUAACUAUGUUGAUGAUAUCCAUGUUUUGAACUAUAUCAGUGAGUGUGUUACCAGAGAACCCAAUGAUUGGCUUGAAGAAGAUUACAUAGAGAGUGAGAUCAUCCAACCCAUUAAGCAGAUGGAUCCUAUGAAGGCCCUUGGAGUGGACGGUCUGUUGGGAGUUUUUCCAAGCAUAACUGGGAGAUUGUUGGGAGGGACACUAUUCGGUUUUGCCUUGAUAUUCUUAACGGGAAUAAAUAUGUUUCAUAUUUAAAUGAAACUAUGAUAAUCUUAAUCCCUAAAUUUCGUGAUCCUAAUGACAUCACUAAUUACCGCCCGAUUAGCUUAUGCAAGUUCAUUUAUAAGGUCAUCUCCAAAGUGCUUUCCAACCAUAUCAAAGUUUUCCUCUCUAAUUGAAUAAGUCCAAAUCAGAGCGCGUUUGUCCCUAGAAGAAUGAUACAUGACAACAUUGUGAUUGCUCACGAACUACUCCACUAUCUUCAAAGCUCUAAAAAUGGUCCCAAUAAAGGACUCGUUGUUAAGCUCAAUAUGAGCAAAGCAUAUGACCAAGUGGAGUAGGAAUUCUUAGAGGCGGUAAUAUUGAAGAUGGGUUUCGGUAAUAGUUGAGUUAAAAAAGUCACGAAUUGUGUUUGGACCAUUCGCUAUAUAAUUAAGUGCAACAGAACUUUGUUAGAUAUUAUUUCUCUCGAUAGGGGAUUCGUCAAGGAGAUCCCCUCUCCCCUUAUUUGUUCUUAUUUUGUAUGGAAUCACUCUCAAGAAUGCUUCUUCAUGCUCAAGGUAAUAAUAUUUUACGUGGUAUCGGGGCUAGCAUCAAUGGCCUUAGGAUUAACCACCUCUUUUUUUUGUGGACAAUGCCCUUAUUUUUGUUAAAAAUAAAAAAUUUUAUGUUGUUGCUUUACUUAAUAUUUUAAAGGACUUUACUAAUGUUUCAGGACAAGAGAUAAAUUUUAGUAAGUCUGUGGUUAUUUUUAGCCACAAUACUUCUAAUCCGCAAAGGCAUAGACUUGGCGACUUACUAAGGAUGAAAGU